AGUGAACGCUGGCGGUAGGCCUAACACAUGCAAGUCGAACGGCAGCACAGUAAGAGCUUGCUCUUACGGGUGGCGAGUGGCGGACGGGUGAGGAAUACAUCGGAAUCUACUUUUUCGUGGGGGAUAACGUAGGGAAACUUACGCUAAUACCGCAUACGACCUACGGGUGACAGCAGGGGAUCUUCGGACCUUGCGCGAUUGAAUGAGCCGAUGUCGGAUUAGCUAGUUGGCGGGGUAAAGGCCCACCAAGGCGACGAUCCGUAGCUGGUCUGAGAGGAUGAUCAGCCACACUGGAACUGAGACACGGUCCAGACUACUACGGGAGGCAGCAGUGGGGAAUAUUGGACAAUGGGCGGAAGCCUGAUCCAGCCAUACCGCGUGGGGGAAGAAGGCCUUCGGGUUGUAAAGCCCUUUUGUUGGGAAAGAAAAGCAGCAGGUUAAUACCCCGCUGUUCUGACGGUACCCAAAGAAUAAGCACCGGCUAACUUCGUG
This 492-nucleotide ribosomal RNA is filed under the name uncultured bacterium. Its description in RNAcentral is "partial 16S ribosomal RNA". It matches the Rfam family "Bacterial small subunit ribosomal RNA", at positions 29 to 507 of the family's 1533-position model. The record is from RNAcentral.